GACGAACGCUGGCGGCGGGCUUAACACAUGCAAGUCGAACGGAAAGGCCCUGCUUUUGUGGGGUGCUCGCGUGGCGCACGGGUGAGUAACCCGUGAGUAACCUGCCCUUGACUUUGGGAUAACUUCAGGAAACUGGGGCUAAUACCGGCUAGGAGCUCCUGCUGCAUGGUGGGGGUUGGAAAGUUUCGGCGGUUGGGGAUGGACUCGCGGCUUAUCAGCUUGUUGGUGGAGUAGUGGCAUACCAAGGCCUUGACGGGUAGCCGGCCUGAGAGGGUGACCGGCCACAUGGGGCCUGAGGUACGGACCAGACUCCUACGGGAGGCAGCAGUGGGGAAUCUUGCACAGUGGGCGGAAGCCUGAUGCAGCAACGUCGCGUGCGGGAUGACGGCCUUCGGGGGGUAAACCGCUUUCGCCUGUGACGAAGCGUGAGUGACGGUACCGGGUAAAGAAGCACCGGCUAACUACGUG
This 468-nucleotide ribosomal RNA is filed under the name uncultured bacterium. Its description in RNAcentral is "partial 16S ribosomal RNA". It matches the Rfam family "Bacterial small subunit ribosomal RNA", at positions 28 to 507 of the family's 1533-position model. The record is from RNAcentral.